RNAcentral lists this ribosomal RNA (484 nucleotides) under uncultured bacterium. RNAcentral describes it as "partial 16S ribosomal RNA". It matches the Rfam family "Bacterial small subunit ribosomal RNA", at positions 30 to 507 of the family's 1533-position model. The record is from RNAcentral.
AUUGAACGCUGGCGGCAGGCCUAACACACGCAAGUCGAGCGGAUGAAGGGAGCUUGCUCCUGGAUUCAGCGGCGGACGGGUGAGUAAUGCCUAGGAAUCUGCCUGGUAGUGGGGGAUAACGUCCGGAAACGGGCGCCAAUACCGCAUACGUCCUGAGGGAGAAAGUGGGGGAUCUUCGGACCUCACGCUAUCAGAUGAGCCUAGGUCGGAUUAGCUAGUUGGUGGGGUAAAGGCCUACCAAGGCGACGAUCCGUAACUGGUCUGAGAGGAUGAUCAGUCACACUGGAACUGAGACACGGUCCAGACUCCUACGGGAGGCAGCAGUGGGGAAUAUUGGACAAUGGGCGAAAGCCUGAUCCAGCCAUGCCGCGUGUGUGAAGAAGGUCUUCGGAUUGUAAAGCACUUUAAGUUGGGAGGAAGGGCAGUAAGUUAAUACCUUGCUGUUUUGACGUUACCAACAGAAUAAGCACCGGCUAACUUCGUG